UACAACUUUCAGCAAUGGAUCUCUUGGCUCUCGCAUCGAUGAAGAACGCAGCGAAUCGCGAUAUGUAAUGUGAAUUGCAGAUCUACAGUGAAUCACGAAUCUGUGACGC
This 109-nucleotide ribosomal RNA is filed under the name Imleria badia. RNAcentral's name for it is "Xerocomus badius partial 5.8S ribosomal RNA". It matches the Rfam family "5.8S ribosomal RNA", at positions 1 to 107 of the family's 154-position model. From Rfam's summary of the family: 5.8S ribosomal RNA (5.8S rRNA) is a component of the large subunit of the eukaryotic ribosome. It is transcribed by RNA polymerase I as part of the 45S precursor that also contains 18S and 28S rRNA. Functionally, it is thought that 5.8S rRNA may be involved in ribosome translocation. Lineage: Eukaryota; Fungi; Basidiomycota; Agaricomycetes; Boletales; Boletaceae. The record is from RNAcentral.